UGGGCAGAGGGCGGGAGGGCCUACAGAGCCGGCGCAGGCCUCACCAUGGCGACCAGCCCGGCGCCGCGCUUCUGUCACCCCGCUCCUGUCAGUGCACACACCACCACGCCCCUCCCUCCGACGCCGUAUCCACGUUACCUCAGAUUUCCUGCACGCUCUUGAGGCAAACAUCUGCUGUACCCGAGAUGGUCUGCACAUAACACCCGGAGAGUCACUAAGCAUAAAGAUUAAUUCCUCGAUGUCUUGCUGGCCAAAGGUCCAAUUUUUGCUAGUUGGUACACUUUAAACAUUUUCAGGAUGUCUUUUGGAUGACUUGCUAAAGACUGAAGCUGCCAGUGAGGGCACAGAAGUCGUUCAAGAGGUUUUAUCAUCAGACAAGACCUUUUAGCACAAGGGUAAAUAGCAGAUUUUGCUGCCGAGUUCCUUUUUUCUUCUUUGGAUUACUCCCUGCUUCUUUGGUAAUAGUUCCACAAUAAUGGAAUAAAUGUAUGGUGUUGCUAUAUAAAUCAGAAGGUGUCUGUUUGGCCUUUUCUCUUAGCUUAGUGUUUUUAGCAUUAGCAUAUAGGUUGUCUCAUAAGACAAACCAUUUAACUCUAGAAAAUUGGUUGGAGAUUUUUAUACAAUAUAAACAGUACAGCGUGACAGCAAAAAAACCUUGAAUGAUAA
This is a long non-coding RNA of Hyla sarda, 666 nucleotides long. RefSeq lists it as uncharacterized. NCBI's taxonomy places the organism in Eukaryota, Metazoa, Chordata, Amphibia, Anura, Hylidae. The transcript is spliced from 3 exons. The record is from RefSeq and is a predicted model, not a curated record.